GCCCGGCCCGAGAAGCACGAAGAGGAGUCACAUCCAACCUCCCAGCUCCCCCCUUCAUAGGAGCAAUCAGUCGACAGUGAUGCAUGAUGGGAGGGGAAGCAGGGCUCGGAAAAAGUGCGCCCGAAGACGCUCGGGGCAAUGAGUGUGUGUGUGUGUAAGAAUCAAAAAGAAUAAAAAGGUGACACACACACACACUUUAUUUAUUAUUUAAUGCGGGGAUGCUGACACAUUAACUAAUGUACACACGCCAUUUGAAAGUAUAAAAGCAGGCCUUCUAUAAGCUGCGUGUGUGUGUGUGUGAGCGUGUGUGUGUGUGUGUGUGAGCGUGUGUGAGCGUGUGUGUGUGUGUGUGUGAGCGUGUGUCUCCUCUUCCCCAUCGGAGGCGGAGAGCGACCCGACGGGAAAAGAAUGGACGCUCAAAAAGCUGAUUCGACGUUUCCCAUUGGACGACGGGGAGGAGCUGCAGGAGGAACCCGUCUGUGAGGAGUCGCUGCAGGCUGGGAGCAUCAUGGGGGGGGGGGGGUCCAGGUGUACGGUGUCACUGUGGAGCGUUCUCCUCCUCAGAAUCCUCCUGUUGCCGUUUCUUCUGUUCGGAGAGGAGACAGAGAUCAGACUCAAACGAAUCGAGUCGAUUCUAGAAAAAAAAAAUCAUGAAUGAGAUUGCAUCUACAUUUUUAUUAUAAAUAAUAUGGUAUUUUAUUUGUUACCUUGUAUUAAUACUCUAAUGUGCACCCGCUGCUGUGAUCCUGCAAUUUCCCCGCUGUGGGACUAAUAAAGGAAAAUCUAAUCUGA
Molecule: long non-coding RNA, 792 nt
Organism: Pseudoliparis swirei
Lineage: Eukaryota; Metazoa; Chordata; Actinopteri; Perciformes; Liparidae
Exons: 2
Source: RefSeq, a predicted model, not a curated record